AUUUAAAAUUUUAUAUUAAUUAUUUUUUAAUAAAGUAUUAUUUUGUUUUAUUAAUUAUUAAUGAAAAAAUUAAAAAUAUUAUAGUAAAUAGUAUAGUGAUAGAAUAAUGAAAUAAUUUGAAAAUUUAAAUUAUUUAAAAGAAUAAUUAAUUUUUAGUACCUUGUGUAUCAGGGUUUAUUAAUUAAAAAUUAUAAAUGUAGUUUUCUCGAUUUUAAAAGAGUUAAAUAAAUAUUAAUAUUAAUGUAAAAUAAUUAUAAUUAAUAUUUAUUUAGUAAUGAAACGUUAUUCGUUUUUAAAUAUAUCUAGUUUUUUAAGAAAUAAAUUUAAUUUAGUUAUAAAUAAAAAUUAAUUUAAAUUUUAAAAUUAAUUUUAUUUAUAAUAAAUAUUUUAAGGGAUAAGCUUUAAAAUAAAUUUAUAUAAAUUAUUUAAAUUAAAAUAUAUUUAUAGAAUUAAAAAUUUUUAUUAAUAAUAGUUUGUUAUAAUUAAUUAUUUAUUUUAUUUAUUUAUAUAUAAGUUUUAUAUUUUUUAUUAAAAUUAUUUAUUUAAUUUAUAAUUAGAUGUAAUAAUGAUAAAAUUAGUAUAAUUUAUUGUAAGAAUAAUUUAUUUUUAUAAGAUUAAUUUAAGGAAUUCGGCAAAAUAAUUCUUCGCCUGUUUAAUAAAAACAUGUCUUUUUGAUAAUAAUUUAAAGUCUGACCUGCCCUAUGAUAUUUAAAUGGCCGCAGUAUUUUGACUGUGCAAAGGUAGCAUAAUCAUUAGUUUUUUAAUUGAAAGCUGGAAUGAAUGGUUGGACGAAGGAGUUACUGUCUCAAAUUAAUUUAAUUAGAAUUUUAUUUUUAAGUUAAAAAGCUUAAAUAUAUUUAAAAGACGAGAAGACCCUAUAGAGUUUUAUUUAUAUCAAAAUAAUUCUUUUUUAAUAUUAUGUAUUUAAGUAUAAAUUUUAUUGGGGUGAUAAAUAAAUUAAUUAAACUUUAUUUUUUUUAUUACAUAAAUUAAUGAAAUAUUGAUCCAUUAUUAAUGAUUAUAAGAUUAAAUUACCUUAGGGAUAACAGCGUUAUCUUUUUAGAGAGUUCAAAUCGAUAAAAAGGAUUGCGACCUCGAUGUUGGAUUAAAGUUAAUUAUUGGUGUAGAAGCUAAAAUAAUUAAGUCUGUUCGACUUUUAAAACUUUACAUGAUCUGAGUUUAAACCGGCGUGAGCCAGGUUGGUUUCUAUCUUUAAAAAAUUAAAAUAUUUUAGUACGAAAGGACCAAAUAUUUAUAAUAUUUAUUUAUUUUUGAAUAUUAUU
RNAcentral lists this ribosomal RNA (1283 nucleotides) under Ochthebius deletus. RNAcentral describes it as "16S ribosomal RNA". The stretch from base 602 to 1283 matches the Rfam family "Archaeal large subunit ribosomal RNA", at positions 1423 to 2826 of the family's 2987-position model. Lineage: Eukaryota; Metazoa; Arthropoda; Insecta; Coleoptera; Hydraenidae. The record is from RNAcentral.